AAAAAGAAAAAAAGAGUGUGAGAUUUGGAAAAAUACUUUUUAAUACAUUAGCAAGUGAAACCUGGCACAUUAACUUUGUUUUGCAAUAAAUGCUGUUUUCUGGCACAUGCCUAUAACAAUCAUGCAAUUUAUGAAAGACCAUAAUCACAUUAAUGAGGGGGUGUGAACAAAAAUUCUAAGGCAGAGCAUGUUUUGGCUAUCAGCGGUUUCCAAGCUUUCCACAGUAUUCCAUUAACCUGUGAUCAUUUCUCUAUUUUCCUUCUACAGUUUCCAUUACACACUAUGGAACUUCAUUUGAGAAGGCACUAGAACACAAAGCUAAAUCCAAGCCAACUUUUGAGUUACCUUCAGUGACAGAAUCUAGAUACCGAUCUUCAAAGAUUAUAGAGUUCCAAAAGGCGUGCUUCUACAUCUACAUCUACGUUCUCUGAAAAGACCAGUAAUAUCUUGGGAGCAGAAUUCCAUGCACAGGAAAUCUGGAUUCAACUCACUGAAUAUUUG
Long non-coding RNA from Python bivittatus (Burmese python), 501 nucleotides. RefSeq lists it as uncharacterized. Lineage: Eukaryota; Metazoa; Chordata; Lepidosauria; Squamata; Pythonidae. The record is from RefSeq and is a predicted model, not a curated record.